UCGUGCUGUGAAGUGUCUGCUUAAUUGCGACAACGAACGAGAUCUCCGCCUCUAAACACGCGCUGGUCUCGCACAUAGGUAGGAGGGGCAAUGGGUUGCCCACGGGUUAUCCUUGCCUCCCCGAGAGUGCCAGCUCGCUUCUUAGAGGGACAGUGCAUACAGCCAGUGCGUGGAAGAAGGAGUCGAUAGCA
RNAcentral lists this ribosomal RNA (191 nucleotides) under uncultured eukaryote. Its description in RNAcentral is "partial 18S ribosomal RNA". It matches the Rfam family "Eukaryotic small subunit ribosomal RNA", at positions 1299 to 1458 of the family's 1831-position model. The record is from RNAcentral.